GUAGGUGGCAAGCGUUGUCCGGAAUUAUUGGGCGUAAAGCGCGCGCAGGCGGUUCUUUAAGUCUGAUGUGAAAGCCCACGGGCUCAACCGUGGAGGGUCAUUGGAAACUGGAGAACUUGAGUACAGGAGAGGAAAGCGGAAUUCCACGUGUAGCGGUGAAAUGCGUAGAGAUGUGGAGGAACACCAGUGGCGAAGGCGGCUUUCUGGUCUGUAACUGACGCUGAGGCGCGAAAGCGUGGGGAGCAAACAGGAUUAGAUACCCUGGUAGUCCACGCCGUAAACGAUGAGUGCUAAGUGUUAGGGGGUUUCCGCCCCUUAGUGCUGCAGCUAACGCAUUAAGCACUCCGCCUGGGGAGUACGGCCGCAAAGGCUG
This 373-nucleotide ribosomal RNA is filed under the name uncultured organism. RNAcentral describes it as "partial 16S ribosomal RNA". It matches the Rfam family "Bacterial small subunit ribosomal RNA", at positions 527 to 896 of the family's 1533-position model. The record is from RNAcentral.